UAAAGUGAAAUUUAUUUUAUGGCCGACAACAAUUUGUGUGUAUUGAUAAACAUGUCAGGAAAUGAAUGGCGUAGGUAGUCUCAGUGUGGACUUUUAGGUCAGAAAUUUUCGAGUCAGAUAACCUUUGUUUAUCCAAACCAAAGCAAAAAAGAUGAGCAAAUCAGGCUGCUCAAAGCUUCACAUCGCCAUGUUUCCGUGGGUUGCAUAUGGUCAUUUCAUUCCUUUCCUUCAUCUCUCAAAUAAGUUGGCUCAUAACGGCCAUAAAAUUUCCUUCAUUUUGCCUAAAGGAGUGCAACCAAAGCUGGAAAACAGGAACCAAUACCCCAACUUGAUUCAAUUCGUUCCUCUGGUUAUACCCCAUGUCGAUGGCCUUCCUCCAGGUGCUGAAACUACAUCUGUUGUUCCUCUGAACCAACAAAAAUACCUUGCUUUUGCAGUAGAUCAAACCAGGGACCAAGUUGAAGGCAUCCUAGGGGCUUUAAAACCUGAUAUGGUUUUUUAUGAUUUCUGGUUUUGGAUCCCAGACUUGGCUCGCCAACUUGGGAUCCACCCCAUAUGCUAAGUAGUGGUUUCCUCGAUGAUCAUGUCGUUAGGGUCAAACAUCAGGACGCUAACCAAAGAAAUGACUGUAGAAGAGGUGACGAAAUUGCCUCCCGAUUACCCUUCUUCCACUGUGAAAUUCAAAGCUGAAGAGGCUGCUGCUUUGUUGUUUGAGGCUGAGGAUUUCCGGAGUGGACUGUCGUUUGGGGAACGGAUAAGGACUGCUGUGAGUGGAAGUGAUGCCAUUGCCUUCAGGACUUGCCGUGAAACCGAGGGACCAUUUUGCGACUAUGUUGCUCGAGGAUAUGGGAAGCCUGUUUUGUUGUCAGGGCCUUGCUUGCCUGAAACAAAGACCCAACAGCUUGAUGAGAAAUGGGUUAGUUGGUUAAGCCAGUUCGAGCCAGGUUCUGUUGUGUUUUGCUCUUUAGGAAGCCAGAGUGUGUUACAGAAGGACGAGUUCCAGGAGUUGGUGCUUGGGUUUGAGCUAUGUGGGCUACCAUUUUUGGUAGCUUUAAAGCCACCCCAAGGAUGCUCAACUGUUGAAGAAGCACUGCCCGAGGGAUUUCAAGAUAGGGUUGGAGGAAGAGGGUUGGUGUAUGGAGGUUGGGUUCCACAAGAGCAGCUAUUGCACCACCCUAACAUCGGGUGUUUCGUUAACCACUGUGGGUAUGGAACGAUGUGGGAAUUUUUGCUUAGUGACUGCCAAGUGGUGUUGAUACCUGAAAUUGGGGAUCAAAUUUUGAACACCAGGUUGAUGGCGAAUGAGCUCAAGAUUGGGGUAGAAGUGGAGAGAGGUAAAAACAGGGAGGUUCCAAAGGAGUCAUUGAGUGAAGCCAUCAAGUUUGUGAUGGACAAGGACAAUGAAACAGCUAAUCUGAUGAAGAGAAACCAUGCUAAGCUGAAGCAAAUGCUAUCUAACAGGGAUCUUCAAGAAGGAUAUAUCAACAAUUUCAUUCAAGCUCUGCAAGAUUUGUCAAAUAUGAAGUCCAAGUCGCAAAACAAAAUGAUUAAACCCGAUGAUGUUUGGUAAAUAGUUUUGAGGUGUUCUUGCAUGUAAUGUUCUGCCAUGAAAACUGACAUCACCGUUAUUCUAAACAUGUUAAGAUUGCUGCUUCUUUCUAAGAGCAAAUUUAAUUUCCAAACUAACACACAGAUCAAGAAAUAUAGCACUCUGGACCUGCAAAUACUCAAGCACAUAUUCAAUAUAUACGGCAAAUUCGACAUGAAAAAGAAAAAUAAUGGAGAAGGCAAUAUAGUUGAAAGUUGAAUAUAAUAGCAUGAGACUUCAUAAUGGGAGUCUGUACAAUUGUUGAUAAUUACAGAGCCAACAAAUAAAUGAUUGUCUGUUAGAUCUUGUCAAAUAGAGUUGCAAAAUCCAAGCAAUUGGUUAGAAAAUGAAUGUGAAUCAUAGGUAUGAUUAUUGUUUGUGAUGGUGUGUUGUGGCAUAUUAGUUAGAAUUAGAUAAAUGACAUGAUUUAGUAUGUUUUUGGUAUGAUAUAAUAAAAUGGAAUUAUUUGUUAAUGGUAUAUUUGUGGCUUAAUUAUGAAUGAAUAUACAUGACUUACAUUUGAAGGUAUUUUUAAGCGUACACGGGUUACUACAUGGUUUUGUGCUUUACAUUGGAAUGUUACAAAGUCGUGUGUUUUAUUUGAUUUAAGUGUUAAUUGGUAUACAUGGCCACAGUCUUUUAUAUGAUCUGGAGACAUGGCUGUGUACCUCCACCUACAUGGUUUUAAUCAUCACACACGGUGAAACAACACAACUAUAUCUCAUAGCAACACAUAGCCUCAGCUUAUCAUACGGCUUCGUCACAUGGACAUCCAACAGAGUGAAUGAUUUCUUGGCGUAACUAGUGAAGAUUAACGACCAUUAGCAAUACUUUCCACUACUUUCCACUAGUAUAAUUUCAAUCAUGGUUUAUUUAUAACAAAGUCCUUGGAAAAAUCUCCUUAUAAGCCCGGCUUUUCUUUUACUUAUGUGUUAAUCCUCUUUCUUACAUUUAGCUAGCUACUUUAAUCUCCUUUACAAAUUAGUCCAUCAAUUUGACUAUUUACUCAAAUUCAAUAUUCUUUUUGGCGUCACAUUAAAUUAAUCAAGUCAAAUACCAUAACUACAAUCUGAGAAAAUUAAUUAUUGACUCGUUACACUUACCCUCAAAGUGGAGCAUGGUAGUUUGGAUCUUCGUAACAUCCAGGGACCAUUUUUCACCACUACCCUUGGAAAUCCUCAUUUUAACACUUGGAGCAUUCUAGCUUAAAAAAUCUCUCCCCUUACUCCUAAGAACACUAAUGAAUGGAGCCAUAGUCCUUUUUAGGCUUGAGGGCUUUUCUAAUUAUGGCUUCCCAUUUGGGUUUUAUUCACCAAUGGAGAUGUCAUCAAGAUUCUGUCACCCAUGUCAUUGUCAAUUUUUCAUGAUAAAAUCUCAAAGAGAUCUUUAAUUUUCACUUUCCUUUAUCCAUGGAACCUUUAAAAUUAAUCAUUUAUUUUCACUUUCCUUUAAUCAUGGAACCUUUUGAAUCAGUCAUCGAUGUGUCUAUCAAUUUGUUGGACCUCUUGCAAUCUUGCAAGUUCUAGAUUUUGACUCACCUUUUUUUGUAGUCGGGUGGUUGUAACAUCUACCAUGGUAAAAUCUUAGCUUUGAUAAUACAGACGAAAUUGCAAAUUGAAAGGAAAAAGGAUGGAGAGAGAAAAAAAUGAUUAGAGAAGAAAAUGAAAAAAAGAGGUAAUACAAUUAUGGCCAAACAUAAUCCUUCUCUAACGCAACGUUUCAUCUAUUUUAUUUGUUAUUUUGAUAUAAUGAUAUCAUUUACAUCAUUUUAUGGAAAAAAAAUUAACCAACUAAAAAAAUUCUCCAACAACUACCAAAAACUUCUCGCCAUUUGGUUCUCAUCCAAAUCGAGAUUUUCAAAAAGAAAUUGGAGAUUCAACCUCACCUUAAUUAUGAGUAGAAUCAAUGGUUGAAUUCUUUUGGGAUAAAUAUAAUAAAAUACUUUCAAUAUGGAUAAACAUGAUGAAUAAAAAAGGCGUUUGUUGUGCAAUUGUUAAUGGAAGGCUUUAUAAUUAGAUCGGUUUUUUCUCUCAGAUCACAUUGUGCAAGCAAAAAAAGAAAGAUGAGAAAAUCAGGCCACUCAAAGCUUCACAUCGCCAUGUUUCCAUGGGUUGCCUAUGGUCAUUUCAUCCCUUUCUUUCAUCUCUCUAAUAAGCUGGCUCAUAUAAGCUGGCUCAUAAAGGCCACCAAAUUUCCUUCUUUGUGCCCAAAGGAGUUCAACCAAAGCUUGAAAACAUGAACCAAUACCUCAACUUGAUUCAGUUCUUUCCUCUACUUAUACCCCAUGUCGAUGGCCUCCUUCCAGGUGCUGAAACUACAUCUGUUGUUCCUCUGAACCAACAAAAAUACCUUGCUUUUGCCGUAGAUCAAACCAGGGACCAAGUUGAAGGAAUCUUAAAGGUUAUAAAACCAGAUAUGGUUUUUUAUGAUUUCUGGUUUUGGAUCCCAGACUUGGCUCGCCAACUUGGGAUCCUCCCCAUAUUCUAUGUAGUGGUUUCCUCAAUGUCGAUGGGGUUAAACACCAAGGCACUAACCAAAGAAAUGAAUGUAGAAGAGGUGAUGGAAUUGCCUACUGGUUGCCCUCCUUCUACGGUGAAACUCAAACCUGAAGAGGCUGCUGCAAUGUUGUUUGAGGCUGAGGAUUUCGGAAGUGGACUGUCGUUUCGGGAACGGAUAAGGACUGCUGUGAAAGGAAGUGAUGCCAUUGCCUUCAGGACUUGCAGUGAAAUCGAUGGACCAUUUGUGACUUUGUCGCUGAAGGAUUUGGGAAGCCUGUUUUGUUAUCAGGGCCUUGUUUGCCUGAAACGAAUACCUAACAGCUUGAUGAGAAAUGGGUUAGUUGGUUGAGCCAGUUCGAGCCAGGAUCUGCUGUGUUUUGCUCAUUUGGAAGCCAGAGUGUGUUGCAGAAGGCUGAGUUCCAGGAGUUGGUGCUUGGGUUUGAGCUAUGUGGGCUGCCAUUUUUUGUAGCUUUAAAGCCACCCUAAGGAUUCUCGACUGUUGAAGAAGCACUGCCAGAGGGGUUUCAAGAUAGGGUUGGAGGAAGAGGGUUGGUGUAUGGAGGUUGGGUUCCACAAGAGCAACUAUUGCACCACCCUAACAUCGGGUGUUUCGUUAACCACUGUGGGUAUGGAAUAAUGUGGGAGUUUUUGCUUAGUGACCGCCAAAUUGUGUUGAUACCUGAAAUUGGGGAUCAAAUUUUGAACACCAGAUUAAUGGUGAAUGAACUCAAGAUUGGAGUUGAAGUGGAGAGAGGUAAAAACAGGGAGGUUUCAAAGGAGUCAUUGAGUGAAGCCAUCAAGUUUGUGAUGGACAAGGACAAUGAAACAGCUAAUAUGAUGAAGAAAAACCAUGCAAAGCUGAAGCAAAUACUGUCUAAUAAGGAUUUUCAAGAAGGAUAUAUCAACAAUUUCAUCAAAGCUCUACAAGAUCUUGUCAAAUAGAGGGUCCAAGUUGCAAAACAAGAAGAAAAUAUCCAUUUCAUUAUUUGGAAUGAACUGAAGAGUAGUCCUCGCAGGUUAGCUCUCAAAAGGAUUUGGUCAAGGUUCUUUCACCAUGUUAAACGACAUCUAAUGAUGCUACUCAUUUUCUAGCCAAAAAUGGACUGAAUAGUAAUACUGCCACUAUGUGGGUGGAAGAUUACCCACCCUUUCUUCAUCUUUAUGUCAUCACUGAUGCUAUGAAAAUGUUCAAUUUCAAGAACAUUAGCAAAUAAGUCAUCCAAUAGGCUAAUGUAAUUUGGAAUGAAUGUUGUUCCUAAUCUACACUUAAAAAUGUCAUCAUUUAUUUAUCUUUCUUUUUUGCGUUAAGGGUUAAAUAAGUUCAAUUCAGUCUCAAUUAACCUCUCAAACAAUAAAAGCAUACCAAUUAUACUCUGAUAGUUAAUGUGUUGAUGUGGCUAUUCAUGACAGCUGAAUAGACUAUUAUGAUGCCAACAUGGCAAGUCCACAUCAACAAAAAUAUUUUUUUAAAAAACUAAAAUUAUGAGAUAAAUAUUAAAUUUAUACAUGAACUUUGCUCCAAUGUGCAAUUUGAUAGAUGAACUUUAAUUUGAUAUAAUCAUAUGCAUGAAAACUUGAAUUGUGAUUCAUAUAUAUACAUGAAGUUUUGAUUUUGAUUCAGUUGUACAUUUAAAUAAAAGAAUACAUACAUUUAUUUUUGUAUUGAAUUAAUAGAAUGGUUUGUGUAUGUAAUAUAUAAACAUAAAAUUGUACUUAUUCGAUAAUGUUGUUAGUGAUUUAAGAAAUUGAAUCGAAUAAAAAUAUCUUAUAUAAAAUCGCAUAAGGUCAAUAUUCAUGCAUUGCAUUACCCAUUAAGUCAAGAUUCAUGUAUAAUUUUGAUAUUUAUUCUUGUUGAUUUUUACUUCUCUCACGAGAGAUAAAUAUCAUUUUUAAUAAGAUUUUGAAGUUAUUCUUGUUGAUUUUUUUAUUUAAUUUGUUUAUUGUAACUUUAGUGUUUGAUAUAUUUUCAAGGUCAUUUUAUCUAUCGGCUGUUAAUUUUAAUACAAGAUAUAAGAAUGCAAUGUCAAGCAACACAUAUUAUUAUGAUUAAACAUGUGCGUAAUUUUUUUUUAAAAAAUGAGAUAUAAGACAAAAAAUAAAUUUAUGUAGCAUAUACAUAUAAAUUUUUUUGAAUGUUGAUUUAUCAUUUAUAUAAAUUUGUGUAGUAGACAUAUAUAAAUUGUUUUGAAUUUUCAUUUAUCAUUUUUAUAUAAUUUUUAAAAAUUAUAUACCAUAAUGUUGGCAUAAUUUGGCUAGAACAUGGCACUUUCGAUAGCAAAAAUGUAAGCUCAAAUAAUCAUACACAACUAAGCAUCAAAACAAACACAACACAUAUCAACUUAUACCGCAUCCACAUAGCUCAUUUUAAUGACACAAUCCAUUAACAAUCUAUAAGAUCAUAUCAUUUACGUGUUAUUCAUUUCAAUGCAACAAUCAUUUGAUUCAUCAAUUUCAUUCCAUUUCCUUUUUAAAUUUCCAGAUUUGAGUAACUUAUUUCGCUUGAUGGAACCCUAGUAAACGGACUUGAGUACAUGUGUAAACUAUACUACACCAGUUACUCGUCCAAGUUAAAUAUAAAUAUAUCAAGUUACUCAUCUGGGCUAAACCUUUAUAACAACACAUCAGAUUACUCACUCGAGCUAAACCUGUGUCACAUAAUACAUGAGAAUAUGCAAUAAAUGCUGGACCUCGAUAACAUCUGUAAUAAAUCUCGUACAAGCACGCACUAAACCCUAUUGGCAUGUGUUAAAUAUGACUCUUAUUUUCAGUCAAAUUUGAGAAAUAAUCUUUCAGUUAAACUCUAUUUAUCUAUUUCAAUCAAACACUAAUUAGUUUAUAUUACUUUAUUAUUAUUUGACCUAUGAAUUUAGCCUAUAAAUAGGCUCUUUUACAACCUUAGAAAAUACACCCAUUAGAUAUUAGAACUCAUAACACAUUUAGAGAAUUUUAUGUUUACGUUUUCAGGGUUCUUUGUUUUCAGGUUUUCAGGGUUUAGUUUUUAUCUCCAUCUUUUGUACUCUUCGUUCUUUUGCCAUUAUAGUAAAAUUAUCUUUGCCCGUGGGUUUUUAUCCUCUUUAGAAGGGUUUUUCCAUGUUAAAUUUGUGCGUAUAAUUUCUCAAUUUAUUCCGCUAUUUUUUGUUUUACUUGUUGCUUAAUCGAGUCUAUCCUAACAAGUGAUAUCAGAGCUAGUUCAAUUUUCAUAGAUCAGCUUAUUCAGAGAUGGCAACAACAAGGUUUAAAAUUGAGAAGUUCGAUGGUGAGAAAAAUUUUAAUCUGUGGCAAGUUCGAAUGAUGGCAAUUCUAGUUCAAUCCGGCUUGAAAAAGGUUGUUAUCGGGAAAAAGCUUGAGAAUCUAAAUAAAACAAAAUGGGAAGAGCUUGAUGAAAAGGCUUUGUCUGCAAUCUAGUUGUAUCUCGCAAAUACAGUAUUGCAGGAGGUAUUGAUAGAGAAAACCUCAUCCGCCUUAUGGAAAAGGUUAGAAACUCUUUAUACGACUAAGUCUCUGGCUAACCGUUUAGUGUUGAAACAACGUCUAUUUAUGUUUCGCAUGAAUGAAGGUGAGCUUCUUAGAGAUCACAUCAGUCAAUUCAUUACUCUUUUAAAUAAUUUAAAGAAUGUUGAGUUUCAUAUUGACGAUGAAGAUCACGCUAUGCUAUUAUUGUGCUAUUUACCCCCUUCAUACAAGUCUUUUAGAGAGAGACAAACUCUCGUUCGAAGAUGUGAAGGGUCACUUGUUUAGUAGAGACAAACUCGACAAUGAGUUUCAUUUGGAUAGCAAGAUAGAUAAGUAAACUUCCGUUUUGGUAGCAUCAAAGAAACGAGACAGAAAGUGUCACUAUUGUAAAAAAGUUAGGUCACGUCAAAGCAGAUUGUUAUAAACUACCAAAUAAAAGAGCUGCUGAGAGUAACGAGGAAGCUGUAACUAGUGCUAAUUUGGCCGAUGAAGACGGUGAUGAUUUCUUGUUAGUGUUAAAGAGCGAUAACUCCAAGUUCAAGUCCGAGUGGAUCCUAGAUUCGGGAUGUUUUUUCCACAUGUGUCCCAAUAGAGAAUGGUUCUACACAUACAGUUCGGUUGAAGGUGGAGCUGUGCUCAUGGGAAACAAUUCAUCUAGUAAGAUAAUUGGUAUUGGUACUGUUAAAAUUAGGAUACACGAUGGGACGAUUAUGACACUCUCAGAUGUCAAGUAUGUACAUGAUUUACGAAAGAAUCUCAUCUCAUUGAGUAUUUUAGACUUGAAAGGAUGCAGAAUCAACAUCAAGUCAAGCGGCAUUAAAGUAUCUCGUGGAGCUCUCAUUUUCUUAAAAUGUAAAAGAAUCGGCAGUCUUUAUAUUCUGGAAUGUUCUACAGUGACUGGUGAAAUCGGACGUCCCUCGUCCAUUAUGGAGUCGAAGUCAACUCAUUUGGAGCAGAGGCAACUUGGUCAUAGGAGGGAAAAAGGUAUAACCGUUUCGUUGAAGAGAGGUUCUAUUUUGGAUGCAGAUUUUGAAAAGUUAGGGCACUGUGUUCGUGAAAAUUAGACUUGAGUUAGUUUUGAUUUGGUAGUGUACAAGUCCAAGGCUAGAAGUCUUCCAAUUUCUAAGCACAAAUUUGACUCAAUUAACUCCCUACAUAGUUUAAGAUAGGUUCGUGGCGGGCUUUCUCAAAGAUGGUGUUGUGGAAAUAUAAGUCAAGGUGGAGAUUUGUUAAAUAUGACUCCUAUUUUGAGUUAAAUUUGAGAAAUAAUCUUUCAGUUAAACUCUGUUUAUUUGUUUCAAUCAAACACUAAUUAGUUUAGAUUGUUUUAUUAUAUUUGACCUAUAAAUUUAGCCUAUAAAUAGGCUCUUUUACAGCCUUAGAAAAUACACCCAUUAGAUAUUAGAACUAAUAACACAUUUAGAGAAUUUUGUGUUUACGUUUUGAGGGUUCUUUGUUUUCGGGUUUUCAGGGUUUAGUUUUUAUCUCCAUCUUUUGUACUCUUCGUUCUUUUGCCAUUAUAGUAAAAUUAUCUUUGCCCGUGAUUUUUUAUCCUCUUUAUAGGGGUUUUUUCACGUUAAAUUUGUGUGUUCAAUUUCUCAAUUUAUUCCACUAUUUUUUUUACUUGUUGCUUAAUCGGGUCAAUCCUAACAGCAUGUCAAUCAAAUCCUAACUUUUACUAAGUUCAUACGGGCAUCGAUUUCGCUUAUUUCAAUAUCAAACCUAUAAAAUAGGGUUACAUAUGACAUUUCUAUAUUAUGUAAUCAUUCGUAUUUAUGCAUUUGUAUCCUGUAUUAUUACGUAAUAACCAACUUUAUACAACAUUCCAAUUCAGUCAGAUACUAGCUAGUUAUACCAAAUUCCAAGAUAUUUCAAUUAUAUACAAAUAUUCAUAUAUUAAUUAAAUACAAUAUGCACAAAUAUUACCAAAUGAAAUAGUAAGCUCCAUAUGAACUUACCUAAUCAAAACACAAACAAGUUGAUUCUUCAGGGACUAAUUAACAAUUUUAGUUUUUCCUCGAUUGACUUUGCUUUGAUCCGAUUCUUAAUCUAUAAAAUUAUUUCAUAAAAUCAAUAAAUAUUAAACAUUCUCAUUUUACACCAUGAAAUGAAUGAAUCUACACAAACUCAUUUUUCGAUACCCUUAAAAUUUUACAUUUUAUGCAAUUUAGUCUUUCAAUUCGAAAUACUCAUAACUUUAAAUUUUGAGCCUCAAUUUAAAAAUCGAUUUCACAUAUAUUCAUUAGGUACCCUCCACUUCCUAUUCAUAUCGAAAUUUCACAACAAUUUUGUAUUUUAUUCAAUUUGGUUCUUAUGUUCGAAACAAAUAAUUAAGUUAAAUUAAUUUUACAAUCUAGUCCUUUUUCAUAAUCUAAGCUUAAAAUGUAUCAAUUUCAAAACUAAUUCUUUAAGAAAUCAACAAUGACAACUUUUCUUUAACAUAUUUACAAAUUGGUACAAGGUUAGCUAAAUUAAAUUCCCAUGAACUCAAAUACAUAAAAAUUUCAAGAAAAAGUCCUAAAUACCUUCAUCUCUCCUCGGUCGAAAGUUUGGAUGCUUGGAAGGGUUUUUCUCUUUUGUUGAUCUAUGGUGGACGGUCAUUUGAAAAAGAAGAUAGUGGAAUUUUUCAUUAUCUCAAUCUUAUAUACUUUAAUUAACUAAAGAUAAUCUAACUAAUUACUUUAACUUAGUUUUUUUAACUUAAAAAUUACUUAUUAUUAAUUCUUAAUGGGAUAUGGAACCAACAUCCACUAACUCGUAUUUAUUUAUGGGCUAUUAGGCCUUUGGUUAAUUGCUAUUUAGGUUCUCAAGCCUUUUGUCAAUUAAAAUUUCUUAGCGAUUGAACUUUUACAAUUUAAUUCUUGAGUCUUAAUUAACUAUUAAUUUGAAAAAAUUACUAGACCAAACUUUAAUAUGUUCUUGUAUCAUCUCCGUAAAUAUUUAUAUUUAAUAUUUAUGGACUCGAUUUACGAAAAUAAGGUUUCAGAAUUGCCUUUUUCGAAACCACUGAAAAUUGGGUUAUUAUGUAACUUAUUUAUAUAAAAAAAUAACUUUCUAAAGUUAUGUCAAAAAAUUAUAUUAUUUAUAAGAAAUGUUAUAAAAGUUUUGGACAAUUUAUAAAUUUUUUUUAUAAAGAUUAUAUAUUAUUUUUUAUUUAAUUUACGUAUUAUAAAAAUAUAUAUAUAACUUAGCAUAAGUCUUUCUCCAAAUUAAGUUUAUAUAUGUUCAUAUAAUUAAAGCUAUAGACUAUUUGGACCAUGAUCUCAAAUAUUAUAAGUGUAACAGCCCGGUUUUAGUUAAAUCAAAACAGUGAUUUCAGAACCACAAAUCCGAAGUCGUAGAAUUAUUUUAAUAUUAUUUUUGGUAUUUACAGCAUGUUAAUUGAUAUGUGUGAAAAUUUCAUAAAUUAAUUUUACCGUUUGUAUGCUUAAUUUGAUAAAAAGGACUUAAUCGCGUAAAUUGUAAAAGUGGCAUACUAAUUGUGUAAGUAUUUAUUUGCUAUGAUUAAUUAACUAUGAAGCCCUUAAGUGGUUAUUUGACCCUUAGUUAAUUGAGUGGACGAUUUUGGGUUUAUAAUAUAUGGUUUUCUUAUUAAAUUAUAAAGGUUAGUUUUGUAAAUUAGUAAUAUAAGUUAAUAUAAUAAAACAUAAGUAAAAUUUUAGCAUGUUCAUCUUUCUAAUUGAUGAAAGUUGAGAAGAAAAGAAAGCUUUGAAUGUGGUUUUAGGUUCGGCACUCAUUUUUCUCAAUUAAGGUAUGGAUUUUAUUCGGUUUUUGAUAAUUUUUACGUUUUUGAGAUCGUUGCUUUGAAUACUAGCUAGCCCAUGCUUGAAUUUUCAAAAUUUUUGAUGUAUUCAUGAUUUGCAAUUGAUGAUAGCCUAAUGUUUUUGUUGUUUGAUGAUGAAAAAUAAAUAUUUGUUGAUAGAUUAUUAUGUUUAAUUAAGUGACUUUUAAUAAAAAUGUUUAUUAAGGAUUAAAUUGUGGAAUUUGCAAAUUGAAGGGGUCAAAAUAUGGUAUAAAUGAAAUAAAUGGGUUGCUAGGGACCUAAUGAGAAUUUGGCCUAACAUGGUUUAUUGAAAUUUUGAGUAUUUUGUGUUGUUUUAAAUUAGGGAUUAAAUUGUGAUAAUGUGAAAUGUUAGGGGAUAAAGUGCAAAUUACCCAUUUAUGUGUUUUUGGAUGAAAUUGAAUGAAUUUUUAAUUAACUAAGUUAAAUUUGAAUUUAUUUAAAUCAAGAAAAGAGAAAAUCAGAUUUGGAUCGAGGGAAAUCAAAAGCUAUCGAAUAGUCGUUCUGGUCCGUACGAGGUAAGUUCAUAAAUAAUAAGUGUUCUUGAAUUCAAAUGUAUAUAUUAAAUAACUUUCCGAAUUGAAUUGUAUAUAUAUACACAUGUUGCCGAAAUUAAAUGGAGUAUUGGCUGACUUGUUAUAAGCAUGAAUUGAUCGAAUUACAAAAUAGAAAGCCCCGUAUGAACCUUAGGAAAUGUGUAGGAUACUGAUGUCAUGACAUUAGGAUUUCCGAUGUGUGAUUCGUGUAAGACCAUGUCUGGGACAUUGGCAUCGAAGUGAGAAAAUGUGUAAGACCAUGUCUGGGACAUUGACAUCGUAUAUAAUUUGUGUAAGACCCUGUCUGGGACAUUGAUAUCGUAUAUAAUUCAUGUAAGACCCUGUCUGGGACAGUGGCAUCGAUAUGUGAUAACAUGUAAGACCAUAUCCGGGAUAUGGCAUUGUACGAGCUUAUAUGAUUUUCGUGUAUCCUUAACAAUUCCAAAUGGUUCAACGGGCAAUGUCAAGUCAGGACCAAAUGUGAAAUUUGAGCUAAAUGGAUCAGGUACGUGUGAAGUUUUUAUGUUUAUGAAAGUUAAGGUAAGUAAAGUACUUAAUGUGAUCAUAUGAACUACAUGAGAAAUGUGAUUAUAUAUGUGUGUGGAACUAACUAGAUUCAACUAUUUCGAAUUGAAUUAUGAAUGUUCUUGUGAUGAUUUAUUUGCUUAUGGGUUACUAAGCUUUCCAAACUUACUUUGUGUGUUUAUUCGUUGUUUUAUAGAUUUAUAAAGCUAGCUCGAGUUAGGGGAUCGUCAAGGAACUUCGUCACACUAUCGAUCGCUAUUUCGAUACUUUGAAAACUUGUAUUUAUGAUUUAUGGCAUGUAUAGAUUAGUUUCGAUAAUGUUCAUUUUGAUUUGUAUAUAUGUAGCCAUGCAAAAAUGGCUUGCUAAUGAUGUUUAUGUUUGUGUAUUUUCAAUCACGGUAUAAGCUCAUUUUGUGAAGUAUGUUUCAUGGUAUAUCUUGUGUGAUGUUUGGUUUUAUAAAACCGGUUUGAAUGAUACUAAUGUGGUUGAUAGAUGUGUAUUUGGGUGUGGUUUUAUUACGUAAGUUGGCUAUGCAAAUGAGCUUAUUCUGUGAAUUGAUAAAUGGAAGUGAUGUUUACAUUCAAUCUUGUAUUUCGAAAAAUUUGGUAUAGACAUGAAGAUGAUUAUUUAGUUAGAUGUUAAUUUCAUAAGCGUAUGUAAUUACUUUGGUUGUUUUGUGAGAUAAAAUUUAGGUUAUAUAAUGCUUGUUUAUAUUCGACUAAUCUUAAGUAAAAUAAAUGUAUGUGCCUAUGAUAUGAUCAUUUGUGGUUUGGCUAUUUGGGUAAGAUUUGUGAUGAUAAAUAAUGAAUGUGAUUUACUUGUUAAUUGGUUGGUCAUUUUGGAUACUUAGGUAAUGGCUAAUAAUGAUCAUGUUUUGUUGUCAUAAUGUUAUUUUAUCAUGUGCCGUGUUAUUAAUCUAGCUAGCCUAUUUGAUAAGAAAUGAUUUGGUUAUGUGUGUGUAAUAUUGACAUAUUGAUUGGUACAUGGGUCUUGUAUGUUGGUUCAACAAUUGAGCUAGGAAAUAGCUAUUGAUAAUAAGGUGACUAUACGCAUAUAUAUAUAUAUGGAUGGUAUGAAAAGUAUAUUUGAUCAUGUUAUAAAUUAAUUAAUGUCGUAUAUGUGAAUGAAAAAUUAGGCCAUGUAAUAUGGUUGUAAUUUUGUUUUUAAUAUGUGCAUGUACAGAAAUUUAUAAAAAUGAUAUGAUUAACAUUUAGUUAACGAAAUAAAUGUAUUGGCAUAUAUUCGAUGCAUGAAAUGUAAAGAUAUAUGUUUGGAUAUGUGUAACGCCCCUAACCUAAAUAUGUCACUGGAAUAGAGUUACGGAGCAUUACCGGAGUUACCGAUUCAUUUAUCAGAUAUUUCAUUAAUCCGAUAUCUUUUCUUUUCCACGUUCAAGUCUCGUAUUUGAGUCAUCCGGAUCUUUAUAAAUAAAUUUGAUCGUCAUUUUCAUUUAUUUCAUGUUAUAAUACAUUCAACUAAUGCUCUAAACAAAAUUACCAUUUUACCCCUAAACUUUUAAUUAAUGACGAUUUCAUCCUUAGGUUAAAAUAAAAUAAAAUUCUUGCAAUUUAAUCCUUAUUUCCAGCCGUUAUUCUCAAACAAAUUGAUAACAACCCAUGAAUUCUAUAAAAUAUCAGAAUUUUCCGUAAUUUCAACACUUUUCAAUUUAAUCCUUAAAACAUGUUUUUCCCUGAUCUUGAGCUAAAUUAUUAAUUUCAUUCAAUUUUGUAAUUUUAAAUAAUAAAAUAAUCCAUUUCAUUCAAAUUGGUCAUUUUUAACAUUUUUUUACAAAAUUGCCCAUAAAAUUUUACUUUUAUUCAAUUUAAUCCAUGAGCCUAAAACAUGCAAAUUAGCCAUGCUAGCUGAAUAUUCAUACAUAUUUUCCUCCUCCUCCUCUCCAUUCCACAUCCUUAAUUUAUAUAACAUGCAACAAGUAACAUUAUCAAUAAUUUCACUAUUUACUUAUAUGUAUAUUCAAAACUGUCCAUUUGCGUCAUAGUUACUAAAUUAUUUAUAUCUUAAGAUACAGAACUCAAAAUUAAGAUCCGCUAAUUUUCCUUGAAACUAGACUUACAUAUCUUAUUACCAUAAAAUUUUCAUAAUUUUUGGUUUAGCCAAUAAAUACAAUUUAUUCUUUAAAUUUACCCCUGUUCUGCUGCAUGACAGUUCCGACCCUUCUUUACUAAGAAUUAAUUAUCUCAUCGUACGAGAUUCGGAUGAUGUUCCCGCUUAUUUCUAUUGAAAAUAUACUCUUUAAAUAUUUUAAACAUAUAAAUUUAAUCCCUUAAUUAUUUUUAUCCAAUUUUUGAUGAUUUUCCAAAGUCAGAACAGGGGAACCCGAAAUCAUUCUGACAUUGUCUCACAAAACUUAUUAUAUCUCAUGAUUUACAAUUUCAUUGCUUACACCAUUUCUUCUAUAAGAAACUAGACUCAAUAAGAUUUAAUUUCAUAUUUUAUUCAUCCUCUAAUUCGAUUUCUACAAUUUUUGGUGAUUUUUCAAAUUUAGACUAUUGCUGCUGUCCAAAACUGUUUUAGUGCAAAAUGUUAAUUUUCAUUUUGCCCCAAAUUUCACAGUUCAUACAAUUCAGUCCUUACUUAAUUAACCCCUCAAUUAAGCUAAUUUUAUCAAUUAAUACUUUUCCUAGAAAUUAUAAGUUAUUUCAUAACUAUUGAAAUUCAGAAUUUCCACAUAAAACUCUAACUUCAAACUCUUUUACAAUUUAAGUCCCAAACAUUCACUUUCUAUUCAAUUCUUUCAAUAAAAUCAGCAUAUAAACAAUUUAAAGCUCUAAUUCCAUGCCAAAUCAUCAUAUACUUCCAGCACAUAUUCAUAGAAACUUUCAAUUUCUUUCAUAGAAUCAAGAACUAAUGAAUUCAACAAGUGGACCUAGUUGUAAAAGUUACAAAAACACAAAAAUUUCAAGAAAUAAUCAAGAAUUGAACUUACUUGUAGUAAAAAUAUAAAAAAACAGCUUAAGGGAACUCUUCCAUGGUGUUUUUGCUAAUGAGAAUGCAGAAAAAUAAAGAGAAAUCUAGAUAAUUCAACUUUAGUCCUAGCUUUAUUAAGUAAAUUUUGUAAUUUUCUAAUUUUGCCCUUAAUUCCCCUUAUUUUCUUGCUGAUUUCAUGCCCUUGCCGUCCAGCCCAAAUAGACCUUGGGUAUAUUUGCCUUUUAAACCCUCUUUAGUCCUUUUUGUUCAAUUAGCUAUCAGUACUUUAAAAUUUCUUGACGAAACUUUAAUACUAACUUAUUAACACUCCAUAAAUAUUUAUAAAAAUAUUUAUGGCUCGAUUUAAAAUUUUUGAGGUCUCGAUACCUCGUUUUCGAUUCUAAUUAUUUUAAUAUAUAUAUUUUUAGUACACUAUUCACUAUUUCAAAAUUUUUCCUAACUUCACAUUUAACUUAUACUCACUAAAUUAAUAAUAUUUUCUACUCAUUUGUCGGAUUUAGUGAUCUCGAAUCACUGUUCUAACACCACUGAAAUUUAGGCUGUUACAAUAUGUAUUAAGUACAUGUAACAUGGCUUUGUUGCACAGUAGUUAAUUCGAAUAUGUGGUUAAAUAGUUAAUAUUGGCAUGUUUAAAUUUAAAGCAUGAUUUGCUUAUGUAUUAUAAGUUUGUACAUGAUUUUAAAUUGAAAAAAAUUUGUUCUGAGACGUGUUUUGGUCUAUAAUGCCUCGUAACUCCAAUCUGGAGUCGAAUAUGGGUUAGGGGUGUUACAAUAAGGUCAAUGCUAAUUAUGCAAAUAGAAAAUAUUUUCUUGCACCAUAUCAUGAGGUAUGAUACUAUUUGAGAGAAUGAUGCUAAACGCAAGUACCUUAGGCAACUCUCAAACUCUUUAAUUUGAAACAUUCAAAGCUUCAAAUAUGGUUGAGAAGACAUUUAUUGUUCUCAAAAAUAAUUUUCUCAUAUUAACAACAUCACCUUAGUAUAGCAUAAAAAAUAAUAUCGGAUCAUACUAACAGGUUGCAUAUUUCAUAACUUCAAUCAUAAGUGGAAUUGAGAUGAUCCAUAAUUCGAAAAGUAUAUGGAAAAAAGAGAUCGUGAAAAUCUUAAUUAUGCAGAUUUAGAUUCUGAUUCGAAUGAUAAUGAACUCGGUCAAGGACCAACAAAGUAAAAAGCAUAUGUUAAAUAUUAAAGAGGGAAUAACUCAACAAAUACGCACUAGAACAAUAAGAUAGAUUUGCAUAUGAUAUUUAUUUUUCUUGCUAUUUUUGAUAGUAGUCGUAUUAUUAACUACUUUUUUAGACUAACAUAAUUCAUAUGAUGGUUUGAUUUUAAUUUUUUUUAUUUGAUUAGAAAUUAUUUUUAUGAUACUAAUAAUUUUUUAAAAAAUAUAAAUUAUGUAACUGUAUAAUUACAAUUUGUACUACCAAAUAUGACACAGGGAAUUAUAAUAUAAUUACACUCUGUCAGUUAAACGCAUCUAAGGUACAAAAGAGUGUAAUUACUACCCUUCAAUAAUUACAUUCUCGUUCAAUUACUUUAUGUUAAAAUUAAGGAAAGAAGGUUAGAAUUAAUUAUGGAAUCUAUUCAUAUAUGUGUGUGAAGACAAAAAAGGAGGAACUUGGAUGUUGGAUCAAGUGAAAAAUGAAAGGAGAAAGCAAUAGAGUAAAAGAAAGUGUGAUAUUCAAGUGCUAGAGUUGUAAGUACUUUUUGAAUUUUAUUUACUUAGAGUAUGUGUGCUUUUGUUAAAUUGAGGAACUAAAUUUUAAUUAAUGGAAUUGGUUAAUUGUAGUUAUGAAAAAUUUUGACAUUAAAAAUUAGUAGUUAAUGUAACAUUUUAAAACUCCCUUAAUCGUAAAUAGUAGAAUUUUCGAAAGAAAUAGAAAUAGAAUUUAUCAGUAGAAAAAGCCGAUGGAUCCCAAAGUUAGUUGAAUCAAAGAAUUAUACUAUGAUGUAUUAAUUUAAAUUAGGGACUAAAUCACAAAAAUGUGAAAAGUAUUGUGGAUCUAAUAUAAAUAUUUAAAAUUUAUGGGGUCAAAAAAUAAAUAUAGAAAAGUUCAGGGAACAGAAGUACAAAUACCUUAGAGGUGGAAAGUCCAAAAUGUGGAAUAAAUUGGUAUAUGAGGACUAAAUGGAAUAAGUGGAGAAAUGAAAGAGACUAAGUUAUAAUUUUGCCAAAAGUGAAAAUUGGUCAAUAGUGGAAUUGUAGAGAAUUAGAGAGUCAAAAUGGUUAUUUCUCAAUUAAGAUAAUUAUCAUGUAUUAUCAUGAUAAUAUUUAGUGAAUAUUUGUUGUUGAGAUUUUAUUGGUUGAAAUAUUAUUUUAUUAUAAGAAUUUUGUUAUUAAUUAAUGGUUAAGUAAAAAGGAAAAGAUGAAAAUACAUUAUCAUCAUCUUCUCCAUCAUUCACACCACCACCAUGAAAGAGAGAAGUUUUGAAAGUUAUUCAAUUUAGUUCUUUCCAUCAAAAUUCACCAUGUUGACCCAAAAAUCAAAUAAAUUUUCAUAGCCACCAAGAAGAAAAAGUAAUAAGAAGACUAUGGUGAAUAUAAAUAUCAUCUUGGACUCAAGAAAACAGAAGUUGGAGGAUAGAGAAAAUUAAGUUAUGAUCUAAAAUCAAGAAAACAAGAUAAGAGCCUUAAGGUUUCAUCAAAAUUUUUUUUGGGGGGCUUAAUCUUGUUUGAAAAGCAUGAAAAUGACGUUGAAGUAGAGUUUUCUUAUAUAAAGUAUUAUGUUGUUAACAUGUUCAUGAAGGGAAAAAGAAAGAGAGUGAUAAAGAUGUGAAAGAAAGUAAAAAGAAGCAAGAGAAGUGAGAUUUAGUAAGAAAAAACUAAAUACCCUUGAAUUCUAUUUGUUACCUAAGGAUUAGAUUGUAAAGAAUGCUAAGUUUAUUCAGGAUAAUUACAUGAAAUUGAUAAGUACAUGUAAAUGUAUGUUUCUACAUCCUUCUUACGAAAAGAAUUUAUAAGUAGAGGUAUGUAAUGGAAGUCAUAAAAGAGAGUAAAUGUUAAAGGUUUUACUAAACAGUUUUUUUGGAUAAUAACCAGUUCCAACUUUGAAAAUUUACCAAAAUUUAUAGAAAUUUAGCUAGAGGUUAAUCCAAACAUGAAACUCAAGAUUAUUGAGUUUAUUUUUUUUAUAGAAAAAAUGGUGUAAGUAAUGGAAUUGUAGAUUAUGAGAUAAGUAAAUUUAAGUGAGACAAGAUCAAAUUGAUUUCAGGUUCUCCUACUCUGAAUUUGAAAAAUCAUUAAAAAUUAUACAAAAAUAAUUAGAAGAUAAAAUUUAUAUGUAUAAAAAUCUUAAUGAGUCUGAUUUUAAUAGUAACAAACCAAAACAUUAUACAAAUUUUGUAUUGAAAAAUAAAUAAUUUUCAGUGGAAAAGGAUCAGAGCUACCUAAUAGCAGAAAAGUGGAAGAUUUGAAAAAAAAAUUGUAUUAAUUGGUUUGAUUUAAAUUUUUUGUCAUAAUUUUUAUAUUAAGGACGAGAUGUUUAGUUUCAAAAUUUUUCAAUGGAACUUGAUUAUCAAUUCUGAUGAAUAAGAUAUAAAUAAAAAAGUGACUACUGCGCAGUGAAUUGCACUGUUUUAAGUUGUUAAAUUUUAAAACUUAUAGACUAAAUAUGUAAAUGAAGUAAAAGUAGGUUAAAAUAUGAAAAUCAUAAAAUAAAUACUAGUGUGAAUAGUUUGACUUGGAGAAAAUAAUUUAAAAAGAAAAGUAAAAGUCUUAGAAAUAUUCUUAUACUCAUGUUGAGUAGGGUGUGCAAAUUUCGGGUAAAAUUAAUUUAACCGACUAAACUAAAUUAAUUCGGUUAAUCGGUUAGUUAAUCGAAUUAAUUCGGUCGGGAGUCAAUUAAUAAUUUUUUGAAAGUUUGAUUUACGGUUAAUUCGAUUCGAAAUCGGUUAAUUAACCGAAUUAACCGAAAAUUUAUAUUUUUAUAUACAUUUUACAUAUAUUAAAUUCGGUUAAGUUUUGAUAUGUUUUAUACUUGUUUAAAUAAAAAAAAUAUAAAUUUCAGUUAAUUUAGUUAAUCAACCGAAUUAAUCGAAAAAGUUCGGUUCGGUUAAUUUCUUUUUAAAAAUUUUCAAUUUGGUUAACGGUUAAAGAUUUAAAAAGUUCGAUUAAUUCGAUUAAUACUAAUUCAGAUUAAUUAACUGAUUGAGCACCCCUAAUAUUGAGUAUUGAAAAUAUAAUAUUUGAUUUUAAUCUAUUAUUAAAUAAAUUUUGUAUACGCGCGCAAAUUCUAAGUUAAAAGUUUAGAUGAAGAAGAUAGAACGUAAUAUAAAAUAAUAAUAAUAAUAACGGAAUUUUUUCUAGAAAAUUUUUGGACUCAAAACGUUCAGAGCACGUUUGGUUCGCUGUAUUGGAUUAGAGGUGUAUUGGAUUAGAGGUGUAUUGGAUUAGAGGUGUAAUAGAAUAGAGGUGUAAUAGCAAAUCAACUGUUUGGUUGAAUGUAAUGGAAUAGAGGCGUAAUAGUAAAACUGGUGUUGGUUGAAUGUAAUAGAGGUGUAAUAGCAUAAUAGAAAAAACUAAAAUGACCAGAAUACCCUUAGCAUAAAUUUGUUUUGGUAAAUGAUUAUUGUUAUUGUAUUUAAAUUUUAAUAAGAUUAUUUAUUAUCAAAAAUAAAUAAUUUAAUCAUAUUUAAACAUAAUUAUUAUUUAAUAUAUUUUAAUUAAAAUAUAUAAUUUAAAAAAUUCUUAAUAAUUAGCAGAAAUUUGUUUUGGUAAAUUAUUUUAUUUAAAUUUUAAUAAGAUUAUUAAUAUCAAUAAUAAAUAAUUUAAUCAUAUUUAAACAUAAUUAUUAUUAAAUAUAUUUUAAUUAAAAUAUAUAAUUUAAUAAAAUUCUUAAUAAUUAAUAUUCUUAAAAUACUCAAACCAUAAUAUAUUAUACUAAAAUAUAAUUAAAAUAUAUAAUUUAAUAAAAUUCUUAAUAAUUAAUAUUCUUAUAUGAAUUUACUCAAAUCAUAAUAUAUGAUACUAUAAAAUAAAAUUUUAAAUAAUUAAUAUUAAAUAUAUUUUAAUUUAAAUAUAUGAUUUAAUAAAAUUUAAAAUAAUUAUAACUAAUAAAUUAUAUUUUAUGAAUUUGUAUAAUUUAAAAUAAUAAUUAUUACAUAUAAUUUAAUAAUAAUAUAAAAUUUCAUAAAAUUCUUGAUAAUAAAUUUUCUUAUAUGAAUUUAUACAAUUUAAAAUAAUGCCAAUGCCAACACUACCACAUUUGGGUUCAAAUUAUACUCAUAGUAAGCUCAAACUUUUGUUGAUGCCAAUGCCAACACUACCAAAACCUUUUGGACAAUUAUUUCGAAGAUUUAAACCAACAAAAAGAAAAUCAAUAAGUAAUAAAACCAUAGAAAAUAAAAGAAAAAAUUUGCCUUUGAAGCACAUUCAAUUGUGCACUUGGUUCUCUUUGAUAUCUCCAUGAUUUCUUCAUCUUUAUUCAUAAUAUCAAACAUAGGCAAACAAAACGAUAAUUGUAACCCCCUACCCCUACCAACAUUUUAUUGUAAGUAUAACUAACACAGGAUAACUAGUUGGCCUCUUAAAACAGUCAAAGACCAGACCCCAAACCAAACCAAACUGCUAAACAACAAAGCAGACAUCAUUAAAAAGACCCCAUCCCCAGAUUGCAUCAUUUUCAAUUCUUAGAAAUGAGGAGCAUAGAGCUGGAGAACCUUCUGCUAGGACGGUCUGCUGCUAAUAUCAUCCCACCAAGCACUCACAUGCUUCCUGCUGGUUGUCAUGUAUUAGGGAUCACUUCCAGAACCCUGUUUUCCCCUAGCAACAUUUGCAAACUCACAAGCUCCAGACAACAAGGGACUGGAGAUGUUACCGUUAGCAUACUACACGUGUGAUUGCAAAUUUAUGAACAUUCAACUACAAAAGUCCAGAACCUACCAAAAUUUCUAAGCCAAUACCUCAGAAUCGAUUUGCUGAAUAUUGGGGAAAAUUUGUUUCAGGGUAGCAUUAUAGUUAGAAGACUGCGCUUGCAAUAAAACAGUACAGUUGAUCACAUAUGAGAAAGGUUAGGAGAGAAGAAUGACUACUAGGCCAGUAUAGAAGAUUGAGAAACGUCAAACGAUAAUCACCAAUUGUGCAAAUAACUCUAUAGCUAAAAUGAAUGCAAUAUGCCAAGGGGAGGAUGAUGAUAUAGACUUAACUGAACUUAGCCCAGGAAGGUAGAAAACUACUUUAGAUGGAUGCCACUACUUUGGUGAUCAUAUAUUUAAUCACCUAUAGCUAGAUUCAGAUCAUCCAUAAUUUCAACUAUUAAACCAUCACAUUAUGCGCAGAUGAAAGUGACACAGCUUAAUACUAGCUUGAGAAGCUGGUUCAUUCAUUAUUUGCAAAUUACUCAGAAGUGGUUCAAUAGUUUAGUUUAUAUAUAGAUACGAGUCUCCACAGCAUAAACAAGAAUAAUACCUAAAGUUGAAAUGCAAAUCUUAGCACAAACUCUUGGCCAACAGAUCAAGAAAACAUUUAACAAAAAAGUACCUGCUUUAUUAGGCAAACAAAGACGAGAAAAACACAUUGCAAUGUUGGAAUUGAAAGGAGAAAUGAAACAAACAUUGAGAUUUCGAAAAAGUACUUUACUCCAGAGGUGUCAAGCAAAUAUACCAAAAAAAAUAUAAGCCAGAAAGUUUAGAAGAUAAUACUCAAGAGGUUUAUAUAAAAGUUAACAAGUGGAAAAAAACAGAAGGAUUAAAAUCAUACCUGAUGCCCCUACUACUACCUCCCCAAUCACAAUAGCUUACAAUUAGCUUUUUAAGUUGCUAAACUCCUCGCAACUUAGCAUUUCAACUACACAAAUUCACAAUGUAACCUACUAAUUACAAUGUAACCUACUAAUUACAACUUCGACCUACUACAAAUACUCAACACCUCCUACAACUUAGCAUUUCAACUACACAAAUACUCAACACCUCCUACAACUUAGCAUUUCAACUACACAAAUUCACAAUGUAACCUACUAAUUACAACUUCGACCUACAAAUUUAUAUUCUACAACAAACAAAAAUCCCGCUUCUAAUCAACUAUCCUUAAUGUAACAUAUAAUGAGGAAAAAGAAAACAAUAUUUCAAAGAUUCUAUCACAGGAAAAAAAAUCAAAUCAAAACAGAAAAUUUGAAUAGCAUACAUAUAAAUGGUCUUCUAAAAUUGACCAAGAAAAAAGAAAACAACAACAUUUUCAAACCCAAUAACUUGAACCCAAAAUCACCCCCCAAACAAUAGUUUGCAUGCAAAGAGAUUAUAAAUAACAGCAGAAAAAACAUAGAUCUAGUAAAAAGAGACUCGAAUUAGAAAAAAAUUAUAAAGAAAGAAAAAUAGAACAGAGAAAUCAACAGGCAAGAAUGCAAAUAAAGGGGAAAAAAUAAUAGGCAAAAUAUGGGAAUUUUACCUGACAAAUGAAAUCGAUUCCCAGAGAAGACGAUGAGUGUCUAGACACGAAUGAAAAGCAUCCAACUUAUAUGAUAUUCCCGAUUAGAAGUGUUUCGAAAUUCGACAAAGAUAAAUAAAAUCAAAAUCAAAAUCGAUUCUACAGAAAAGAAAAGAAAAGAAAAACAGGGAAAAAUUUGGAAGAAGAAGCAGAAAUAUGGAGAAAAAAAAUGGAGAAAAGAAAAGAAAUGUGAGAAGAAAAGAAGCGUACCGUACCAGAAGAAGAAGUAGAAAUCUAGAAAGGAAAAAAUUGAGAAACGUCGGAAGAGGAUGAGGGAAAAGAAAUUACCUGUGCAAGGAAGCGUGGGAGAAUCGGAGCGUUGAGGACGAGGGCAGAAAACGGAAGAGAAAAAAGGGAAAGACGCGGAAUGGGUAAUCGGCGCUGAGGGAGCGUAAUGCCUAUUACCCGCAGUCAAUGUAAUGGGGGAGUAACUGAUUCGGCGCGGAAUGAGAAAACAGCGAACCAAACGCCGGAAUAGGUCGGUAAUGUAAUAGGCGCGUAAUCGGGGAGUAAUGGUAUACCUAUUACAGCGAACCAAACACGCUGUCAGUAUUUUGGGGGGUUUUUUAAUGGUUUAAUUAUUAUUUUUAUUUUGGCUAAUAAAAAGUAUUCAGCUAAUUAUUUUUUAGUCCUUUAGAAUUGGUAGACUAUGCAAAUGUGAUGGCAAAUUGUGCCACGUGAAACAAAGGCGAAAAAAGUUUAGAUUAUUAUUUAAAAGGAUCAAAAUUGAAUAAUUAAUUUGGAGAACAAAAAAUAUAUAAUUUUAUUAUUAUACUUAUUUUUAAUUUUAUAAAUUUUAAAGAGGUUAAAAAGAAUUAUUAUGUUGGGGGCCAAAAUCACUACUUAUAAUGAACUCACAUGUCUACAAGUCAAACUUUAGAACCAUUAGCUAGAGUUGUCAUAGGAUAAAUGGUGUUAAAUUCAAAUACUAAAAAUUCGAUUAUUUAAAAAUUUAAGUAACAUAUUAAAAGACCAAAUAUCUCAUUAUUCCAAAGUAAAGCAUAUAAUCAAGCACGACAUCAUAUAAAAUUCAAUGGAAAAGAAGAGAAAAUGAUCAUAUAAUUACUCUAGCCAUCCCCGUCUUCAAGCUUGACUUGAACUAUCAUGGUGGAAACAAAAUAAAGAACUCCAAGUUUGUUUUUACAGAGUAAAUUUUCUCCUUUUUCCCUUUUUCUUUUAACCACGUGGUCAGCAUGCAGCGCAGUUCGCCAUCAUGUAAAAGCCAUUGGAUUGUUUUCUGUGACUUGCCACGUUGGGAGCAUGCACUAAUCCACAUUCCAUAUGUAGUCUAAGAAUCCCUGUAAUCUUUAGUCUCUCGGAUCACAUUGUGCAAGCAAAAGAAAAAAAGAUGGGAAAAUCAGGCUACUCAAAGCUUCACAUCGCCAGGUUUCCCUGGGUUGCAUAUGGUCAUUUCAUCCCCUUCCUUCAUCUCUCAAAUAAGUUGGCUCAUAAAGGCCAUAAAAUUUCCUUCAUUUUGCCUAAAGGAGUGCAACCAAAGCUGGAAAACAGGAACCAAUACCCCAACUUGAUUCAAUUCGUCCCUCUAGUUAUACCCCAUGUCGAUGGCCUCCCUCCAGGAGCUGAGACUACAUCUGUUGUUACUCUGAACCAACAAAAGUACCUUGCUUUUGCUGUAGAUCAAACCAGGGACCAAGUUGAAGGCAUCCUAGAGGCUUUAAAACCUGAUAUGGUUUUUUAUGAUUUCUGGUUUUGGAUCCCAGACUUGGCUCGCCAACUUGGGAUCCACCCCAUAUGCUAUGUAGUGGUUUCCUCGAUGAUCAUGUCGUUAGGAUCAAACA
Molecule: long non-coding RNA, 24548 nt
Filed under: Gossypium barbadense (sea-island cotton)
Lineage: Eukaryota; Viridiplantae; Streptophyta; Magnoliopsida; Malvales; Malvaceae
Description: long non-coding RNA (GBAR_LNC000141)
Source: RNAcentral